GCGAGUCUUAAAAGGCGUGUGAGUCGCGUGUCCUGGACCCGAAGCGGGAUGAUCUAGCCCUGAGCAGGUUGAGGCGCGGGUAAGACCGCGUGGAGGACCGAACCCACUUAGGUUGAAAACUGAGGGGAUGACUUGGGGCUAGGGGUGAAAGGCCAAUCAAAUUCCGUGAUAGCUGGUUCUCUCCGAAAUGCAUUUAGGUGCAGCGUCGCGUCAUUGCCUCCAGGGGGUAGAGCUACUGGAUGCUUGAGGGCCCGUAUAGGGUACCGACAGCAGCCAAACUCCGAAUACCUGCGAGGUCGUAUCGCGGCAGUGAGUCGGCGGGGGAUAAGCUCCGUCGUCAAAAGGGAGACAGCCCAGAUCGUCGUCUAAGGUCCCUAAGCGUGUGCUAAGUGGGAAAGGAUGUGGAGUCGCAUAGACAGCCAGGAGGUUGGCUCAGAAGCAGCCAUCCUUGAAAGAGUGCGUAACAGCUCACUGGUCUAGUGGUUCCGCGCCGACAAUGUAGCGGGGCUCAAGCACACCACCGAAGACGCGGCAGUGUCCUUUAUUGGAUGCUGGGUAGGAGAGCGUUCCAUGCGGGGCGAAGCGGCGGCGUAAGCCAGCCGUGGACUGCAUGGAAGCGAGAAUGCAGACAUGAGUAGCGAAAGGCGGGUUACAAUCCCGCCCGCUGGAUGACUAAGGGUUCCGGGGCCACGUUCAACGUCCCCGGGUGAGUCGGGUCCUAAGGCGAGGCCGACAGGCGUAGUCGACUGGACGAACGGGUUGAUAUUCCCGUACCGGCGUAUGGCCGUCAAAUCCGAGGCCUGGAGUACUAACCUCCGGCCGCGUGGCUUACCCUUCCUUCGGGAGGGGGAUGCGAUGCGGCUGUUGGGACCGAUCCUUGUAGUAGGACAGCGCAGGAGUGACGCAGAGGGGUAGCCGGCCGCGGAGGUGGUUUUCCGUGGUCAAGCACGCAGCCUGUCCCGUAGGCAAAUCCGCGGGAUAUCGGGCGAGGUGUGAUGAUGGGGCCCUUCGGGGCCGAAUCCGGUGAUCCCAGCUGCCGAGAAAAGCUUCGGCGCGAGGACGUAUGCCGCCCGUACCCUAAACCGACACAGGUGGUCAGGUAGAGAAUACCAAAGCGAUCGAGCGAAUCCUGGUCAAGGAACUCGGCAAAUCACUCCCGUGCCUUCGGUAUAAGGGAGGCCCCUCAUGGUGGACCGGCUUGCCCGGCGAGCUGUAGGGGGUGGCACAAAAGAGGGGGUAGCGACUGUUUACCAAAAACACAGGUGCAUGCGAAGACGAAAGUCGCUGUAUAUGCACUGACGCCUGCCCGGUGCCGGAAGGUUAAGAGGAUCCGUCAGUCUUCGGAUGAAGCGGUGAAUUCAAGCCCCGGUAAACGGCGGUGGUAACUAUAACCAUCCUAAGGUAGCGAAAUUCCUUGUCGGGUAAGUUCCGACCUGCACGAAUGGCGUAACGACUUCCCCACUGUCUCGACCAGGAGCUCGGCGAAAUUGCAGUACGAGUAAAGAUGCUCGUUAAGCGCAGAAGGACGAAAAGACCCCGGGACCUUUACUAUACCUUGGUAUUGUCAUUAGGUUCGGAUUGUGUAGCAUAGGCGGGAGGCUUCGAAGCCGUGGCGCCAGCCAUGGUGGAGCCGCCAAGUGAAAUACCGCUCUGUCCGAAUUUGAUGUCUAACCUCGACAUGUCAUCCAUGUCAGGGACAGUGCCUGGCGGGUAGUUUAACUGGGGCGGUUGCCUCCUAAAGAGUAACGGAGGCGCUCAAAGGUUCCCUCAGCCCGGUUGGCAAUCGGGUGUUGAGUGCAAUCGCACAAGGGAGCUUGACUGCGAGACUGACAGGUCGAGCAGGGACGAAAGUCGGAGAUAGUGAUCCGGUGCCGGCGUACGGACGCGGCAUCGCUCAACGGAUAAAAGGUACCCCGGGGAUAACAGGCUGAUCAUUCCCAAGAGUCCAUAUCGACGGGAUGGUUUGGCACCUCGAUGUCGGCUCGUCGCAUCCUGGGGCUGUAGCAGGUCCCAAGGGUUCGGCCGUUCGCCGAUUAAAGCGGCACGCGAGCUGGGUUCAGAACGUCGUGAGACAGUUUGGUCUCUAUCCUCUGCGCUCGUUGGAAUAUUGAGGAGACCUGCCCAUAGUACGAGAGGACCUGGGUGGACGAACCUCUGGUAUGCCGGUUGUCACGCCAGUGGCACGGCCGGUUGGCUACGUUCGGAAGGGAUAACCGCUGAAAGCAUCUAAGCGGGAAGCCUGCUCCGAGAUCAGUAUUCCGUGCGGCCUCGAGCCGCUGUAGACCCCAUGCAGAACACGUGGUUGAUAGACAGGACGUGGAAGCCCCGCGAGGGGUGGAGCUGACCUGCACUAACGGUCGAAAGGCA
Molecule: ribosomal RNA, 2367 nt
Rfam family: Bacterial large subunit ribosomal RNA